UGGGGAAUAUUGCACAAUGGGGGAAACCCUGAUGCAGCGACGCCGCGUGAAGGAAGAAGUAUCUCGGUAUGUAAACUUCUAUCAGCAGGGAAGACAAUGACGGUACCUGACUAAGAAGCCCCGGCUAACUACGUGCC
This 137-nucleotide ribosomal RNA is filed under the name uncultured bacterium. RNAcentral describes it as "partial 16S ribosomal RNA". It matches the Rfam family "Bacterial small subunit ribosomal RNA", at positions 355 to 509 of the family's 1533-position model. The record is from RNAcentral.